Molecule: ribosomal RNA, 1638 nt
Filed under: Triticum aestivum (bread wheat)
Lineage: Eukaryota; Viridiplantae; Streptophyta; Magnoliopsida; Poales; Poaceae
Description: partial small subunit ribosomal RNA
Source: RNAcentral
AUGGAGAAGCCAGCUCGCAGCUUCGGCGGGAGCUCGUCGGAGGACGCGGGGACGCCCCUGCUGCUGCCGGUGCACCGCGACGACGACGCCGCGACCACGGCGUCGUCGCGCCUGAGGGCUCUGCUCGCGCACAAGUACCCUGCGAUCGCGUCGGGGCCCGUGGCGUGCGCGGCCAUAUGCGCGCUCGUGGACCUCGGCGGCGCGCACGGCGCGGCGCCGCGGAACAUGCUGGGCGUGCUGGCGUGGGUGUUCCUGUGGUGGGCGACGGACGCCGUGCCCCUCGCCGUGGCGUCCAUGGCGCCGCUCUUCCUGUUCCCGGCCUUGGGCAUCUCCUCCGCCGACGCCGUCGCCAAGGCGUACAUGGACGACGUCAUCGCCCUCGUCCUCGGCAGCUUCAUCCUCGCCCUCGCCAUCGAGCGCUACCACAUCCACCGCCGCCUCGCUCUCAAUAUCACGCUGCGGUUCUGCGGGGACCCGGUGCGGCCGUCGCUGCUGCUGCUGGGGAUCACCGGCACGACGGCGUUCGUCAGCAUGUGGAUCCACAACACGGCGUGCACGGUGAUGAUGAUGCCUGUGGCGACGGGGAUCCUGCAGCGGUUCCCGCGGGGCGGAGGCGCCGGCCAGGGGGAGGGGGAGGAGGAGCAGGAGGUGCGGCGCUUCUCCAAGGCGGUGGUGCUGGGCGUGGUGUACGCGUCGGCGGUGGGCGGGAUGGCCACGCUGACGGGCACCGGAGUGAACAUCAUCCUGGUGGGGAUGUGGUCGGCCUACUUCCCGGAGAAGGAGCCCAUCACCUUCAGCUCGUGGAUGAGCUUCGGCCUCCCGAUGGCGCUGCUCAUGUUCUUGGCGCUCUGGGUCACCCUCUGCUUCAUGUACUGCUCCAACAACACCGGAAAGGCGCUCUCUGCCUACCUCGACGGAACCCACCUCAGAAGGGAGCUCAGCUUGUUAGGUCCAAUGGCUUUCGCGGAGAAGAUGGUCUUGGCUGUGUUUGGGGGUCUAAUUGUGCUAUGGAUGACCAGGAACCUGACAGAUGACAUUCCUGGGUGGGGAGUUCUCUUCCACGAUCAAGUUGGGGAUGGAACAGUCACGAUCAUGAUGGCCACGUUGCUGUUCAUAAUCCCGAGCGGGAAGAACGGGGGUGAGAAGCUCAUGGACUGGAACAAGUGCAGGAAGAUCCAGUGGAACAUCGUGCUCCUCCUCGGCGCGGGCUUCGCCAUCGCCGACGGCUUCAGGACCAGCGGCCUGACCGGCAUCCUCUCGGACGGCCUCAGGUUCCUCGAGGGCGCGCCGACGCUGGUGAUCGUGCCCGUGGCCUGCGUUUUCAGCGGGGUCAUCACCGAGUUCAUGUCCGACGACUCGACCACCACGCUGGUGCUGCCUCUGUUCGCUGAACUGGCCAAGUCCAUCGAGGUGCACCCGGCGCUGCUUAUGAUCUCCGGCGCGGUCGGGGCCCAGCUGUCGUACUUGUUUCCCAUCGGGUCGCCGUCGAAUGUCGUCGGCUUCAGCACCGGCCACAUCACCAUCAAGGAUCUGGUGGCCACUGGGCUGCCCCUCAAGGUCGUCGGAGUUGCAGCUCUGACGGUCUUGCUACCAACACUAGGGUCAGUGAUUUUUGGCAUGGAUAAAAGUCCUAGCUAG